RNAcentral lists this ribosomal RNA (657 nucleotides) under Triticum aestivum (bread wheat). RNAcentral's name for it is "partial small subunit ribosomal RNA". The record is from RNAcentral. Lineage: Eukaryota; Viridiplantae; Streptophyta; Magnoliopsida; Poales; Poaceae.
AAGCUAGCUAGCAAUAGGGUGAUCGAGCGACAGUUCGAAACCACGAUGGGGAUGGCGGCGGCGCUGUGGGACGCCCUAUCGAAGGCUGCCAACCUGGCGCAGAUGUCUGGCCUGCACGCCGUCAUGCUGGUAGCCGUGGUGGCGAGCCUGCUACGCGUCCCGCAGAGCAAGCGGGAGUGCGCCAAGCUCGAGCGGUGCAGCCGAAGGCUCUGUGUGCUGCUGCAGUGGCCGACGGGCUGCGGGGCUGUGCUGCUGCAAUCGGAGAUGGGAGGCCCCGCUGUAAAAGCACUGGUCGACGCGGCCGGCCUCGUCGACGACUACAAGAAGAGCACGCUGUGGCGCCGCGUCCGGUGGGGCAGGAGCAUGGCGACCCGGUUUCGUGACAUGCAGGACGCCGUCGACUCCUACUACGGCAUCCUGAUCUUCAUCAACGCCAAUGUUCUGUUACAACGGGCGACUCGUCAUCUCCCGGGCACGAUUCAUGGGGUGGAUGAUCCACCGCAAAGUCAAAGCCUACAAGCAGUCAGCAAUUGCUCCAAAGUUACAGCAACUUGUCACACUCAAAUGACCAACAACGAUACUGGCGAGGAAGGAGCCAGCAAAAUAGGAAGCGAAAGAGACAACACCAACCCGACUGGGUGUGAAAGAAGCUUGCCU